AUGAACCCCGCCCCUCCACCUUUUUCCUUCCCUGUGUUGCCCUCUUUCCUGGGGGCCGGGGUGGGGGUGAUUGCUGGGCCUCUUUCUCUUUUCUGCUGCCAUCCAAGUAUGCCGCCCUGCUUCCUCCUGUCCUCCUGGCGCUUGCUGGGGUUUUGCCUCUCCGUGAUGGGACUGGAUCCCAGAAGCACUGGACUGAGCGCGCCCAAACCGAAGGGAGCUGGCCAGGCCCGCUGCGGCAGCCCCCUUCUGAGGGGAUUCAGUGGUGGGCGUCAGAGCCGGGUUAUCUCAGCUGAGGCAGACCCCGGCAGGCUGCGGGCUUCUGGGCUCCCGGCAGCCCCAGCAAGGUGGAUCUCUCUCCUGAAGGGCCAAGUAGUUCCCUUCCUUUUGGGGGUCUGCGGUCAGGGCCUGGCAGGGUGGAGGGCGGUCCUUCCAACCCUGGUUUCCGUGCCUGCGGGCCUGAGCCUCAGCUCUGGCCCCCCUUUCCAGCACAGGGGCCCGGGGGCCCGAGACCUGAAGCCGGGACGCCGUCGCCCCUCCUUCCCUUUCCUCCCGCUUGGCGCCAUCGCCGAGGAAGAGUUUUUCUCAGGGGAUGUGAUGGCUAUCGAGAGCCCUGGCUUGGAAGCGUUGGCGCGGCGGCCUGCCCGGGAUGGACGUGCCCAGUGGCCAGCACUUUGUUCACGCGCGCCAAAGGUCUCCUCGCCCGCGGUUCUACUUGGUCAGGGUCCUUGGAAAGGCUGCCCUUUUCUUGCCUGCAAAGGGAGGCCAAAAGAAGCCCCUCCCCCAGCCUGCUCCUGCUCAGCAGGCAGCAGAGGGACCUCCCACUGGACUUCUCUUUCCCUUGAUGAGCCCUUGGGCCCUUCUCUUCUGGCUGGGCCCGCUGAGGUCCGCCCCUCCGGGAGGGUGAAGGGCAGCCUUGGCUCUCCCUUCCCGCCCCCCAGGCCACAGAGGCACUCUGGGCCCCUCCCGCAGCCUUCCCCUCCUCUGCCCAUUCUGCCUUUGGCAGUGUGUCGGAGCGGGCAGGGACUUCCCGGGCUGUGUGCGAGGCCACCUUCAAGCGGGAUUCGUAGGAAGUGCAAAGACCACCAAGGUGACACACGCACACACGCGCGCACACACACGCACACAUGUGUGCACACACGCGCACGCGCACACACACACGCACGCACACACACACGGCCGCCCCUUAGAGUGGGAAGGGACCUCAGAAGACAUCUUGCCCAAACCCUUCAUUUUACAGAUGGGGAAACUAAGGUUCAGGGAUGCCAAAUGAUUUGCCCAAGCUCGGCAGUCUGA
This 1293-nucleotide long non-coding RNA is filed under the name Monodelphis domestica (gray short-tailed opossum). Its description in RNAcentral is "lncRNA (ENSMODG00000045648.1)". The record is from RNAcentral. Lineage: Eukaryota; Metazoa; Chordata; Mammalia; Didelphimorphia; Didelphidae.